UGUACUGUAGCUCAAUGGUAAAGUGCUUGCCUAGAACUCAUGAGGCCCUGGGUGUAAUCCCCAGCACUACAG
Molecule: transfer RNA, 72 nt
Filed under: Ictidomys tridecemlineatus (thirteen-lined ground squirrel)
Lineage: Eukaryota; Metazoa; Chordata; Mammalia; Rodentia; Sciuridae
Description: Spermophilus tridecemlineatus (thirteen-lined ground squirrel) tRNA
Rfam family: tRNA
About the family: Transfer RNA (tRNA) molecules are approximately 80 nucleotides in length. Their secondary structure includes four short double-helical elements and three loops (D, anti-codon, and T loops).
Source: Rfam by way of RNAcentral